AGUGUAGAUUCAGAGUUUGAUCCUGGCUCAGAUUGAACGCUGGCGGCGUGCUUUACACAUGCAAGUCGAGCGGCAGCAUGACCUUCGGGUCGAUGGCGAGCGGCGAACGGGUGAGUAAUACAUCGGAACGUACCUUUUAGUGGGGGAUAACGCAUCGAAAGAUGUGCUAAUACCGCAUAAUCUCUGAGGAGGAAAGGCGGGGAUCACGUAAGUGACCUGUCGCUGAAAGAGCGGCCGAUGGUCGAUUAGCUAGUUGGCGGGGUAAAAGCCCACCAAGGCGAUGAUCGAUAGCGGGUCUGAGAGGACGAUCCGUCACACUGGGACUGAGACACGGCCCAG
This 339-nucleotide ribosomal RNA is filed under the name uncultured bacterium. Its description in RNAcentral is "bacterial SSU rRNA". It matches the Rfam family "Bacterial small subunit ribosomal RNA", at positions 1 to 334 of the family's 1533-position model. The record is from RNAcentral.